Molecule: unclassified non-coding RNA, 609 nt
Filed under: Nekemias arborea
Lineage: Eukaryota; Viridiplantae; Streptophyta; Magnoliopsida; Vitales; Vitaceae
Description: partial external transcribed spacer
Source: RNAcentral
AUGUAUCGUUGUCAUGCCUAUACGGUCCUAUGAAGUCUUCACUCGGUGUUUCCGCGCUGGAUAAGGGAUAAUUCCCGUGAAACAGUUGCGGUUCAACGUGUGGUGGCGUGUCGUGGUGAACCUGAUGGCAUGUGAGUGGUGCUUGGGUCGUCCGGGUCGGUAGGCUCCUUGCUCGGGCAACGAACUAUCGCCGCACACCCCUCUUCAGUCUUAAGCGUCAAGCGCCGGAACGGGCCUUGUGCGCCGGAAAAUAUCGUGGUUCCUGUGUUGCCUGCCCAACGAACGGAAUUGUCCCUCAAUUGGUUGCCUCUCUCCAGCUAGCGCCGCUCGUGCGGCGCGGGUGGACCCGAAAAGCGGUCGCUGUGCUCCUUGCUUCUCCUCCGGCGCACGCGUGUACGCGUGCAAGGGGUUGAGCACGGCCCACGACGGCCUCUCGUUCUCCGGGAUGCGGAGCCUUAAAACGGGCGUGGGGUCUCAGGAUCCCAACACUCGCUCGAGCUAAGCGUUCGUCGCUAGACGCGUACGACGGCUGUGAGCGUCCUUGCCCUCCCGUCGGCCCCUCGGGGCCCCCGGGGAGGCGCAUGCGUCACCAGCGUCGCACAUGAAUGC